CAUGAAGCCACCCAGAAGACAGGCUACAUUUCCACUUAUAACUAGAUUCUGGCCAGUUGAAAUAUAAAUACAUGUGGUACCCUGAGUGGGGCAGCUCAGAAUGUUCCUUCAGAGAUGACGACAGAUGCCCGUUGUCCGUUUCAUUUUGCCCUACAUCCUGCUACCUUGUGGGAUGGUUCCAGUUGGGCCAUGAACACAAGAGCCCCACCAUGAGGAUGUCAGCGUGUCGCUCUGGAAGGCAGGAUCCAGAUUCAUCCUGCAGGACCUGGUGCACGAGGUCAAAGUUGGAUGAGAUCAUACUCUUCUGCUUGAGGUAAUGUAAGGCCUCCUUCAGGCAGACUACUUGGUCUUCAUGAGCUAAGCCAUGCAGAUGAUGGAUGAACAGGAGAUCCCAAAACCUUGCCUCCCUUUUCCCUGACACGGUCAGCGAAGUCUAUGCUUCUUAAGAGUGGGAGCUGCUGUCAGCCACAUGGCUGUCCUCCUGUUGGAUCCAUGUGUAGUGGAGGGGGGCCAUGCUGGCCUCAGAGCUCUGUUGUGAGACACUCAGUGGCCUGUGAUGUGCAGGAUGGUGUGGACAUUGCCCUGAUGCCUGCUAAGCAGUUUGAGAGGAAGAGCCCAAGUAAGGGGAAUGGGAGAGGGAGAAGCAGACUCCCCACGGAGCAGGGUGCCUGAUGCACGACUUGAUUCCUGGACACUGGAAUCAUGACCCAAGUUGAAGACAGACGCUUAAUCAACUGAGUCACAGAGGUACCCCGAGUCCGUGCAAAUUUUAAUGAGUAAAAGAAAAAAAGAGAUCCUAGUCCCAGCUUCCUCUUCUGAGAAUUGCACAUACAGAGCUACUGUUCACCAUUGUUCUCUGUUGGUAGAGUAACAGGGCAGAAAUGCCUGGGCCUCGACUCAUCUUGUUUGUUCUCAUCCUUGCUCACAAGUCUUCCAGACCCUUCAGACUCUGUUUUGGAUUGGAGAAUUUUCACUUGAACUUGGACUGGUUCUUUUUUUUUUUUAAUUUU
Molecule: long non-coding RNA, 1010 nt
Organism: Canis lupus familiaris (dog)
Lineage: Eukaryota; Metazoa; Chordata; Mammalia; Carnivora; Canidae
Exons: 3
Source: RefSeq, a predicted model, not a curated record